This 465-nucleotide ribosomal RNA is filed under the name uncultured Klebsiella sp. RNAcentral describes it as "bacterial SSU rRNA". It matches the Rfam family "Bacterial small subunit ribosomal RNA", at positions 338 to 795 of the family's 1533-position model. Lineage: Bacteria; Pseudomonadati; Pseudomonadota; Gammaproteobacteria; Enterobacterales; Enterobacteriaceae. The record is from RNAcentral.
CCUACGGGGGGCAGCAGUGGGGAAUAUUGCACAAUGGGCGAAAGCCUGAUGCAGCCAUGCCGCGUGUGUGAAGAAGGCCUUCGGGUUGUAAAGCACUUUCAGCGGGGAGGAAGGCGUUAAGGUUAAUAACCUUGGCGAUUGACGUUACCCGCAGAAGAAGCACCGGCUAACUCCGUGCCAGCAGCCGCGGUAAUACGGAGGGUGCAAGCGUUAAUCGGAAUUACUGGGCGUAAAGCGCACGCAGGCGGUCUGUCAAGUCGGAUGUGAAAUCCCCGGGCUCAACCUGGGAACUGCAUUCGAAACUGGCAGGCUAGAGUCUUGUAGAGGGGGGUAGAAUUCCAGGUGUAGCGGUGAAAUGCGUAGAGAUCUGGAGGAAUACCGGUGGCGAAGGCGGCCCCCUGGACAAAGACUGACGCUCAGGUGCGAAAGCGUGGGGAGCAAACAGGAUUAGAUACCCCAGUAGUC